Molecule: long non-coding RNA, 231 nt
Filed under: Elaeis guineensis (African oil palm)
Lineage: Eukaryota; Viridiplantae; Streptophyta; Magnoliopsida; Arecales; Arecaceae
Description: long non-coding RNA (EGUI_LNC046320)
Source: RNAcentral
GUACAUGAUGUUCAUGAUAGAACAAAUUCUACUUAUAAACACUUUGUGUACAUGGAUUGGGAUAAUCUAAGCAGUCUUUUAGAUCUAUCUCUAUAGAUCUUCAUCCCUAGAAUGAGAGAUGCUUUCCCAAAGUUCUUUAUGAAGAACAAUGAUAACAGUGAAAUCUUUAAUUCUUGUAAUGUAAAAAAUAUCAUUCUCAAUUAAAAAAAUUUUAUUCACAUAUAAAAUAAG